RNAcentral lists this ribosomal RNA (492 nucleotides) under uncultured bacterium. RNAcentral's name for it is "partial 16S ribosomal RNA". It matches the Rfam family "Bacterial small subunit ribosomal RNA", at positions 36 to 507 of the family's 1533-position model. The record is from RNAcentral.
CGUUCCCUCCGGCGGUAGGCCUAACACAUGCAAGUCGAACGGCAGCACAGUAAGAGCUUGCUCUUACGGGUGGCGAGUGGCGGACGGGUGAGGAAUACAUCGGAAUCUACUUUUUCGUGGGGGAUAACGUAGGGAAACUUACGCUAAUACCGCAUACGACCUACGGGUGAAAGCAGGGGAUCUUCGGACCUUGCGCGAUUGAAUGAGCCGAUGUCGGAUUAGCUAGUUGGCGGGGUAAAGGCCCACCAAGGCGACGAUCCGUAGCUGGUCUGAGAGGAUGAUCAGCCACACUGGAUCUGAGACACGGUCCAGACUCCUACGGGAGGCAGCAGUGGGGAAUAUUGUGCAAUGGGCGCAAGCCUGAUCCAGCCAUACCGCGUGGGUGAAGAAGGCCUUCGGGUUGUAAAGUCCUUUUGUUGGGAAAGAAAAGCAGCAGGUUAAUACCCCGCUGUUCUGACGGUACCCAAAGAAUAAGCACCGGCUAACUUCGUG